This 627-nucleotide long non-coding RNA is filed under the name Gossypium barbadense (sea-island cotton). Its description in RNAcentral is "long non-coding RNA (GBAR_LNC006547)". The record is from RNAcentral. Lineage: Eukaryota; Viridiplantae; Streptophyta; Magnoliopsida; Malvales; Malvaceae.
CGAAGAUUAGCAACAGAAAAUUCAAAGAUUAAUUGCUCUCAGUUGAAAGGCCAAGGUUUUCCACAUCAGAAACCAAGAAUGAAGGCUUUUAUCUCUUAAAACUUAAGACAAAUAGAAAAGCCAUAGAUUCAAGUGCUUGACGGAAGCUUUCUUCCAUAAUCUAAAAGAAGAGGACAUGUAUUGAAACAACAUUACCCUCAAAACCUAGAUAACAGAAUCAUUAAGCAAAAACCAAACACAUGAAACAUGGCAAUAACUCCUUUGCCUUAAAUCAAAGAGAAAAAAGCUCUAACCUCCAAGAUCUCUAUUUUCAGUGUGGUUAAAGCAAAUAUCAAUCAUCAUCGAGCAAAAAUAUACAAACAAAACCCAGAUCUUAAAAACGGUGAAACUUACUAGAAAAUGCAAGAAUCCAUAGAAAACCAAAUAAAUAAAUUCCAGAAGUAUCAUUGAUAUUGCAUCAUUUUAUUAUCCUCUAGUGUUAUUGUUUUACAGCGAACACCGAGGGUAUUAGGAGAUGCCAUUGAGAGAAUUGGGAUGGGGAUUUUGGUACAAAUCGGCUGUUUAAAGGUUUGGGGAUAGGGGGAUUUAUAUAGUCUCAAAACACAAAAUUAGGGUUUAGGGUUAGCA